Molecule: ribosomal RNA, 150 nt
Filed under: uncultured eukaryote
Lineage: Eukaryota
Description: partial small subunit ribosomal RNA
Rfam family: Eukaryotic small subunit ribosomal RNA
Source: RNAcentral
CCCUGCCCUUUGUACACACCGCCCGUCGCUACUACCGAUUGAAUGGUUUAGUGAGAUCUUCGGAUUGGUCCGGAGGUGGCCGCAAGGUUGCCUCCAGGUUCCGAGAAGAUGAUCAAACUUGAUCAUUUAGAGGAAGUAAAAGUCGUAACA